UUUGGUGGCGAUAGCGAAGAGGUCACACCCGUUCCCAUGCCGAACACGGAAGUUAAGCUCUUCAGCGCCGAUGGUAAUCGGGGGUUUCCCCCUGUGAGAGUAGGACGCCGCCAAGC
RNAcentral lists this ribosomal RNA (116 nucleotides) under Bacillus sp. (in: firmicutes). RNAcentral also lists the same sequence under 1 other name. The record is from RNAcentral. Lineage: Bacteria; Bacillati; Bacillota; Bacilli; Caryophanales; Bacillaceae.